UUUUUUAGUCUUCCUCAUCCGAGAUAUUCGUCAGCUGGGAUUCGUUUACCGAUGUAGAGGAGUAUAGAAAAACUGUGCAUUCGUCAGGCAUAAAAGAAUAUGAACUUGGAAUAGGAUCUACAAUGGGAGGAACAGACAUAUAUUCAUAUACAAAAGUUGGACUUGUAAAUCAUUACACAGUACAUGGUUUGCGAUUACAAAAUGGACAUGAAUACUAUGCAACUAUAAGAGCGUUGGAUUUUGCAAAACGAAGUGCCACAGCAAAUUCACAUCCAGUAAAGAUUGAUGGCACACCACCAGAAAAAUCUGAUCGGCCAAUAACUAUAGAAGGACGUCAUUUAUCAGAUAUCAGUGAAAUAAAUGCAUGGUUUGUAUACAUGUUUAAUAUAUUAAUUAAUGAACGUUUUUCCUCGACCAAACUGCGGCUGAACGUCGAUGAUAUAGCGAUUCAUAAACUAAAAGGGAGCAAAAAUUCGCUAACAAUUAAAAAGUGUGUACACCAUGUUUCCAAAAAUGAAUCAAGAAUAAAUAACAGAUUCACUGUCAAAGAUUUGCCAUAAUCAGCAAUGACCCUUGAAGGACAA
This is a long non-coding RNA of Mytilus californianus (California mussel), 584 nucleotides long. RefSeq lists it as uncharacterized. NCBI's taxonomy places the organism in Eukaryota, Metazoa, Mollusca, Bivalvia, Mytilida, Mytilidae. The record is from RefSeq and is a predicted model, not a curated record. The transcript is spliced from 3 exons.